AGAGAGGAGAGAGAAAGAAAAAAAAAAAAAAAGCAGCAGCAGCAAUGGCUAAUGCUCUUAUAAUAUGGAGCCUAAUGUACGCUACUCUCUGUUUGACAGUUUAAGCAACAUAAAGUGACAGAGAUCUUGAAACGUGAGAAUAAGGCAGAACAAGAGACUGUUUGUAAGAGGAAUAAUUUCACACACCCGUGGGGCUUCACAUAAAACUAAUUUGCACAUAGACAGGGCUCUCUUAUGGAUGAUGGAUAAAUGUAAUUCCUAGUUACUAGUGUAUUUCUUCUUUUACUAAUAAGACAAAAGAAUGAAACCCAGGCUAAAAUCACUUUGAAAAUUAGAGCAAUUUCUAAAUGAAUUGGAUUGCUAAAUAACUAGACAGUGACUUUUUGGACAGCUCCCUCAGGUCACUAAUACAGAUCCUCUUUACCAGUUACUCCUGUGAUAUUCAAUAUUCUUUAACAAUAUUGCUCAAUGAAGGAAAAGAAAUAAACAAAAAAGUGAAAAUGGGCUAUGAGUUUUAAUCAAUACGUGAAAGCCUUCAAUUAAGUUUUACAUGAGAGAAAACAUAUAUGGACUUUAAUCUUUCAAGCAAAAUCUUCCUGAAAAAGAGAGAUGUGGGGAACAAUUUUAAAGAAAAAAAAAAAAUCAAAGCUGAUUACAAAUGUACGAGUGCCAUCUGGUGUUAGAAAUAAAAACAAUCACAGCCUUUAUCAGGGUUCACCUCAGUACAAUGUGGUUAUGAGGUACUCAAAUGGUAAUUCUUGAACUGGAAUUCACUUUGUGUCUAAUACUCAAAUGCAACUAGUUAUCAUUUGGUUUAAAACUCAAUGAAUCUAGGGAAGUAAGGUUGGUAGAAGCAGUGUUUGCCAGUACUCAUAUCUUCCAAUAUUCCAGGGAAAAAUGCAGUAACUCAAGAAUUUAUAUAUUUGCCACAAUUUUAUACUCUAACAUACUUAAAUGUCCUCUGAUAUGUGAAAAGUGUAUCUAUACUUUCAGAAGCAAUGCAUCUAUAGAGAUACAGGAAAAACAGAUGGGUAGCAUAUUUUUAAGGAAGAGAUUUUAAGGCUUAUAAUGCUAAUGUGCUAAGAUAAAUUUAGCAAUAUAUCUUUUUUAA
This 1111-nucleotide long non-coding RNA is filed under the name Capra hircus (goat). RNAcentral's name for it is "lncRNA (ENSCHIG00010006969.1)". Lineage: Eukaryota; Metazoa; Chordata; Mammalia; Artiodactyla; Bovidae. The record is from RNAcentral.